UUUUUUUUUCUUUUUUUCUUUUUUUUUUUUGAAAUCUUGAUUCUUAUGAUUUGAUGAAAACGAUGGAAGGAGAUAGACGAGGAGUUGACGGAGAGAUAGAUGCGGACGGUGAUGAUUGAAAUAAAAUUUUGCAUCAUAGUUACGAUACCUAAUUUGUUUCCGCCAAAAAGAAGAACUCCAUUCUACAAUCAGAAGAACCAGUUAAAUAUUUCUGUAUGAAAUACAAAUUCUAAAACCUAGAAGAAAGAAUAAUAUAAUUACAUGUCUUGCUUGUAAAAUCUUGUAGCAACAGACUUACGUGAUCCCUUAGAAAAAUUUAGAAUGUUAAAGUACUAUUUUCAUACUCCAAUUCCUCCUCAGCAUAACCCUGAUGAAACAAUAGGAAGUGCAGUGCAUGUUUUGUUUCACAGAAAGUUACGAUGUCUCAACUGGUUUGGUACUAGCGUUUAUAUACUACGGGUCUUCAGUUCGACCCCUAGCUUAUUUAUAUU
Arabidopsis lyrata subsp. lyrata is the source of this 491-nucleotide long non-coding RNA. RefSeq lists it as uncharacterized. The record is from RefSeq and is a predicted model, not a curated record. NCBI's taxonomy places the organism in Eukaryota, Viridiplantae, Streptophyta, Magnoliopsida, Brassicales, Brassicaceae. The transcript has 2 exons.